This 399-nucleotide ribosomal RNA is filed under the name Triticum aestivum (bread wheat). Its description in RNAcentral is "partial small subunit ribosomal RNA". Lineage: Eukaryota; Viridiplantae; Streptophyta; Magnoliopsida; Poales; Poaceae. The record is from RNAcentral.
AUGGCCGCUGCAUCGCAACUCCGGCAGCGUCGGCGACCGCUGCAUCGUAGCUCCGGCGGUCGACGACCGCUGCACUGCAGCUCCGGCGGCGUCGGCGACCGCUGCAUCGCAGCUCCGGCGGUCGACGACCGCUGCACUGUAGCUUCGGCGGCGUCGGCGACCGCUGCAUCGCAGCUCCGGCGGUCGACGACCGCUGCACUGCAGCUCCGGCGGCGUCGGCGACCCCUGCAUCGCAGCUCCGGCGGCGUCUGCAACAGCUGCAUCGCAGUUAUCCGCCUAGCAUCGCAACUCCGGCACCGACAAGGCCGCUGCUGCCGUGCGGGGCAUGCUUGGAGCGGACAGUGGGCGUGCGAACGGCUACGAUGUCCACAAUCAGACGGUUGUCAAGGCGACGGAUAA